This 476-nucleotide unclassified non-coding RNA is filed under the name Hevea brasiliensis (rubber tree). Lineage: Eukaryota; Viridiplantae; Streptophyta; Magnoliopsida; Malpighiales; Euphorbiaceae. The record is from RNAcentral.
CGAGGGUGACAUCUUGCAAAUUCGAACUCUUAUUAUGAAUUUAUUUACCGUUGCAUUCAAUCUUCAAGAGGAUUGUUUGGUGUAGAAGCGGAUGCCAACUGCUACGCCCAAAAUGAUCAGGGGAACUAAGAACUGGAGUAGCUUGAUUAUGAAUUCGGAUGUGUUGUCCUGAUUGUAAUGAGGCUGAUUGGGAGGAGUGUACGCCUUUUUAGUCGGGAUGGUUGCUGAAUCAAUAUCCCCUACGUAGUACUCGUCCAACAUGGCUCGAGCACUGCUGCUGUGACCAACAUCCUCAAAAUCAUCGGUUGCAUCCUUUCCAGUAGCAGCUAAUAAAACCUCAUCGCCACCAGGGUGAUCGUCCAAGAACUUUGUCACAUCGUACACCUUGCCACUAAUAACAAGCCAACAAUCUUUGGCAUUGUUGUGAGGAGCUACUUCUUGCAAAGUAUAAACCUUUGUUUCACUACCCAUUUAUG